CCUGGCUCAGGACUAACGCUGGCGGCGCGCCUAACACAUGCAAGUCGAACGAGUGAGAGAGAGCUUGCUUUCUCGAGCGAGUGGCGAACGGGUGAGUAACGCGUGAGGAACCUGCCUCAGAGAGGGGGACAACAGUUGGAAACGACUGCUAAUACCGCAUAAGCCCACGGUGCCGCAUGGCACAGAGGGAAAAGGAGCAAUCCGCUUUGAGAUGGCCUCGCGUCCGAUUAGCUAGUUGGUGAGGUAACGGCCCACCAAGGCAACGAUCGGUAGCCGGACUGAGAGGUUGAACGGCCACAUUGGGACUGAGACACGGCCCAGACUCCUACGGGAGGCAGCAGUGGGGAAUAUUGCACAAUGGGGGAAACCCUGAUGCAGCGACGCCGCGUGGAGGAAGAAGGUCUUCGGAUUGUAAACUCCUGUUGUUGGGGAAGAUAAUGACGGUACCCAACAAGGAAGUGACGGCUAACUACGUGCCAGCAGCCGCGGUAAAACGUAGGUCACAAGCGUUGUCCGGAAUUACUGGGUGUAAAGGGAGCGCAGGCGGGAAGACAAGUUGGAAGUGAAAUCUAUGGGCUCAACCCAUAAACUGCUUUCAAAACUGUUUUUCUUGAGUAGUGCAGAGGUAGGCGGAAUUCCCGGUGUAGCGGUGGAAUGCGUAGAUAUCGGGAGGAACACCAGUGCUGAACGCGGCCUACUGGGCACCAACUGACGCUGAGGCUCGAAAGUGUGGGUAGCAAACAGGAUUAGAUACCCUGGUAGUCCACACCGUAAACGAUGAUUACUAGGUGUUGGAGGAUUGACCCCUUCAGUGCCGCAGUUAACACAAUAAGUAAUCCACCUGGGGAGUACGACCGCAAGGUUGAAACUCAAAGGAAUUGACGGGGGCCCGCACAAGCAGUGGAGUAUGUGGUUUAAUUCGACGCAACGCGAAGAACCUUACCAAGUCUUGGCAUCCCUUGACAGGCAUAGAAAUAUGUUUUCUCUUCGGAGCAAGGAGACAGGUGGUGCAUGGUUGUCGUCAGCUCGUGUCGUGAGAUGUUGGGUUAAGUCCCGCAACGAGCGCAACCCUUAUGGUCAGUUACUACGCAAGAGGACUCUGGCCAGACUGCCGUUGACAAAACGGAGGAAGGUGGGGAUGACGUCAAAUCAUCAUGCCCUUUAUGACUUGGGCUACACACGUACUACAAUGGCGUUAAACAAAGAGAAGCAAGACCGCGAGGUGGAGCAAAACUCAGAAACAACGUCCCAGUUCGGACUGCAGGCUGCAACUCGCCUGCACGAAGUCGGAAUUGCUAGUAAUCGUGGAUCAGCAUGCCACGGUGAAUACGUUCCCGGGCCUUGUACACACCGCC
This 1355-nucleotide ribosomal RNA is filed under the name uncultured bacterium. RNAcentral describes it as "bacterial SSU rRNA". It matches the Rfam family "Bacterial small subunit ribosomal RNA", at positions 18 to 1394 of the family's 1533-position model. The record is from RNAcentral.